GGAGAUGUAGCUUAGUGGCAGAGCGCUUGCCUAGCAUGCAUGAAGCCCUGGGUUCAAUUCCCCAGUACCUCA
Non-coding RNA from Heterocephalus glaber (naked mole-rat), 72 nucleotides. NCBI's taxonomy places the organism in Eukaryota, Metazoa, Chordata, Mammalia, Rodentia, Bathyergidae. The record is from Rfam.